This 409-nucleotide long non-coding RNA is filed under the name Homo sapiens (human). RNAcentral's name for it is "HSALNT0307261". The record is from RNAcentral. Lineage: Eukaryota; Metazoa; Chordata; Mammalia; Primates; Hominidae.
UCUCAUUUUGCUCCAUAGACAGCGAGUGUGCUCAGCUUCAGAAAAUGAAUCAUUAUGGCUCUAAAUUCAUCAUGAUAUCCCACUUCUCCUUUGCCAGUGAUAGGGCUAGGCAGAUUUGAUGAAGGACUGUAUUUGGAGCUAUGGAAAGGAAAACCGAGAGGCAGAGAAGCAGCCCCUAGACUGUUAGCCAAUCCGGGUUGGAGCAGCCGCCCACAGACGUCAUCUUUUGUUUCCUUCAUAUCUUUACACCUUGUGUCCCUGAAAAUGUGGGAAUAUGGCCAGACCUCAUCGUGGGGACUGCUAAGUCAGUUUCACAGAUGACAACAAUGUGGAGAGUUACAGAAUCAACUGAUUUAUCAGGUUUUCUGUUUUCAUAUCUUUUCCUGAGAGUACAAUUAAGGCAUUUAUA